RNAcentral lists this ribosomal RNA (465 nucleotides) under uncultured bacterium. Its description in RNAcentral is "partial 16S ribosomal RNA". It matches the Rfam family "Bacterial small subunit ribosomal RNA", at positions 28 to 507 of the family's 1533-position model. The record is from RNAcentral.
GACGAACGCUGGCGGCGUGCUUAACACAUGCAAGUCGAACGGAAAGGCCCCUUUGUGGUUACUCGAGUGGCGGACGGGUGCGUAACACGUGAGUAACCUGCCCUUGACUUCGGGAUAACUUCAGGAAACUGGGGCUAAUACCGGAUAGGAAUACUUGCUGCAUGGUGGGGGUUGGAAAGCUUCGGCGGCUUUGGAUGGACUCGCGGCUUAUCAGCUUGUUGGUGGGGUAGUGGCUUACCAAGGCUUUGACGGGUAGGCGGCCUGAGAGGGGGACCGGCCACAUUGGGACUGAGAGACGGCGCAGACGCCUACGGGAGGCAGCAGUGGGGAAUAUUGCACAAUGGGCGGAAGCCUGAGGCAGCAGCGCCGCGUGCGGGAGGACGGGCUUCGGGUUGUAAACCGUGUUCAGCAGGGGAGAAGCAUGUGGUGACGGUACCUGCAGAAGAAGCACCGGCUAACUACGUG